UGGCAAAGCUGGACAACUGGGGGGGAUGGGGGGGGAAAUGCGAGAUUGUGGAGAGUACUGUGUUACGCUUUUAUAGAACCUCUUCGACUCGUAGAUUUUUGGAAGCCUAUAUGUAUGUUUUUUUUUUCCUGUUUUGGGGGGAUUCACCAGCCGCGUAAGAAGCGCAUUCCUCGGAGGUUCAACGCCGAAGAAUAAAGUAGUUUAUUCGCAAUUUUCACCCAACAGCUCCCUCCAGUCUGGUCUAGUCUGGCUGGGUGCGUUCUGGAGAGAGUGGAGGAUGCCUGUCGAGAUCUGCGUUCACAUUACGAGGAAUUAAACGCCUGCCUUACAGCCUUCAUUUGGUUUUUUUUUUUCUCUCUUUGGGGAAACUAAGGUCGGACCGACGAUUAGGACGCACGUUUGGGAUUUUCACGACCUCCCCUAACCCCCCCACCCCUGCCUGCUGAGACUGGUAUCUCUGAGCAAAUUUCGACCAUUUUGCCAAAGGACCUGCACACUGGAGACAUAAACAAAGGAUACAUUUAAAGAUGUAUCCACAGGGCCGACAUCCGGCUCCACAUCAGCCCGGCCAGCCUGGCUUCAAAUUCACUGUUGCUGAGUCUUGCGACAGAAUAAAAGACGAGUUUCAGUUCCUCCAAGCCCAGUAUCACAGUCUCAAGGUGGAGUAUGACAAGCUGGCCAAUGAGAAAACAGAGAUGCAGCGCCACUAUGUCAUGUAUUACGAGAUGUCUUAUGGUUUGAACAUAGAGAUGCACAAACAGACGGAGAUUGCCAAACGACUGAAUGCAAUUUUAGCUCAAAUUAUGCCUUUCCUGUCACAAGAGCACCAACAGCAGGUUGCUCAGGCAGUGGAGAGGGCUAAGCAGGUGACUAUGACCGAGCUGAAUGCCAUCAUCGGGGUACGUGGACUUCCCAAUCUGCCUCUCACCCAGCAGCAAGCUGCCUACCCUGCUCUUAUGCAGCAGCAGCUCCAGGCGCAGCACCUCUCCCACGCUGCUCACGGGCCUCCGGUCCAGCUGCCGCCUCACCCCUCGGGUCUGCAGCCACCUGGCAUCCCCCCUGUGACGGGCUCCGGAUCGGGCCUGCUGGCUCUCGGGGCUCUGGGCAGCCAAGCUCACCUCCCAGUGAAGGACGAGAAGAACCACCACGAUCUGGAGCACAGAGAAAGCACGAAUAACUCGAUAUCCCCAUCAGAAAGCUUGCGAACAGCCAGCGAGAAGCACCGCAGUUCUUCGGAUUACAGUUUGGAGUCAAAGAAACGCAAAGUAGAGGAGAAGGACAGCAUGAGCAGAUAUGAUAGUGAUGGAGAAAAGAGUGAUGAUUUGGUGGUAGAUGUGUCUAAUGAGGAUCCUGCGACUCCACGGGCAAGCCCAGCCCAUUCUCCGCCUGAAAACGGCAUCGAUAAACCACGCCCAACCAAGAAAGACACGCCCAACAGCCCAGCGUCUGUGGCCUCCUCCGGAAGCACCCCAUCCUCCAAGGCUAAGGAGCUCAGUCAUAAUGACAAAUCCUCCACGCCUGGCCUCAAAUCCAACACCCCCACCCCCAGAAACGAUGCCCCUACUCCUGGCACCAGCUCCACUCCUGGGCUCAGACCCAUCCUGGGCAAACCACCAGGCAUGGAGGCUCUUGCAGCACCAGCUUUGCGGACCCCUCUGUCUAUUGCGGGCUCCUAUCCUACCCCCUUUGCCAUGAUGGGCCACCAUGAAAUGAAUGGAACCCUGACGAGUCCAGGGGUGUAUGCUGGCCUGCACAUCUCCCCUCAGAUGAGUGCUGCAGCAGCUGCAGCUUAUGGACGCUCCCCCAUGGGGUUUGAUCCUCAUACCCAUAUGAGAGCCCCUGGGCUUCCAGCCAGCCUCACGUCCAUUUCUGGAGGCAAACCUGCAUACUCUUUCCACGUCAGCGCAGAUGGUCAGAUGCAGCCUGUACCCUUCCCGCCCGACGCCCUCAUUGGGCCCGGUAUCCCGCGUCACGCACGUCAGAUCAACACGCUUAGCCACGGUGAAGUGGUUUGCGCCGUCACCAUUAGCAACCCCACACGCCAUGUCUACACUGGCGGUAAAGGCUGCGUCAAAAUCUGGGAUAUCAGCCAGCCAGGCAGCAAGAGUCCCGUGUCCCAACUGGACUGUCUGAACAGGGAUAACUACAUCCGAUCCUGUAAGCUCCUGCCUGAUGGUCGCACAUUGAUUGUUGGAGGCGAGGCAAGCACUCUGACCAUCUGGGACCUGGCCUCUCAGACGCCUCGCAUCAAGGCGGAGCUCACCUCCUCAGCGCCGGCGUGCUACGCCUUGGCCAUCAGCCCUGACGCCAAAGUCUGCUUCUCCUGCUGCAGUGAUGGAAACAUUGCAGUUUGGGAUCUGCACAACCAGACUCUUGUUAGGCAGUUCCAGGGUCAUACAGACGGUGCUAGCUGUAUUGACAUUUCUCAUGAUGGCACUAAACUGUGGACAGGCGGCCUCGAUAACACUGUUCGCUCUUGGGACCUUAGGGAGGGUCGACAGCUGCAGCAGCACGACUUCACUUCACAGAUCUUCUCCUUGGGCUACUGUCCGACGGGAGAGUGGCUGGCUGUUGGAAUGGAGAGCAGCAACGUGGAGGUGCUGCACCAUUCGAAGCCUGACAAGUAUCAGCUACACCUCCACGAAAGCUGCGUCCUCUCCCUCAAGUUCGCCUACUGUGGUAUGAACAAACCUACAUUAAAGGAUUAGACAAUUUAUUGUUGUUUUGUGGGAUAGACCCACAAACAUUUGUAAAUAGGUGUGAAGUGGUAUUAAAAGGAGAGGUUUUUUUUAAUUAUUUAGAAAUACAAAUAUGAAAAGUAUGGCUUACAUUUGUAUUUAACCCACUUUACUCUGAUAGCCCUUUAUAAAAUCCAGUUCAACAGUUUACCUUUUAGAAGUUACCUGCACAUCUAACUCUACAUAAACCUGAACACACCAUCCCCACCUAUGGCAGCAUCGUGGUGAGGGGAUCAUUUUCUUCAGCAGUGAAGUGCAAGCUGCAACCUUUUUUGGGUGUACAUCCAUGAUUCCCAGUUCCCCUUUCUACAAAAAUCAGACUGACAGAUAUUUCUUAAAAAAAAGCAUGUUGGGUUUGUUGUUUACCAGGUAAAAAGUACAGAAAAAAAUUGUACUACAACUACUUUCAACAUGAUUACUGAGGUAAAAAGAUAACCACUACUUUGGAAUAAAGCAUGUUUAUGUGUUAGAAGGCCUAGUGAAAGUCCAGACUUAAAUCCAAUUAAGAAGGUAUGCAAGACUUGAAAACUACUGCUGACAGAUACUGUCCAUCCAGUCUAUUUAGCUUGAGCUGUUUUACAGUAUAGGAAUGGGCAAACAAUUCAGUCACUACAUGUGCAAAGCUGCUAGAAAUGUACAGCUGUAACUGAAACAAAAGGAGGAUCAACCAAGAAUUUUAGGAGGACUACAUACAAAUGCAUCCUACACUUUUCAGAUAUUUUGUUGUUUAAACCCAUAUAUCUUCAUCUUUUACUUUGCAGUUAUGCACUACUUUCUGUUUGCCUAUCAUGUGAAAUCCCAAUAAAAUGCAUUGUAGAUUCUGGCUGCAGUCUGACAAACUGUAAAAUAUUGUAUUGUUGUAUGAAUACUUCUGCAAAGCCCUGUAUCUAGUUUAAGAGCUAAAUGGCCUUUUUUCAGUUCUUUUCUCCUAAGGGUUACAGAUGUAACGACUCUUGCUAUGAAGGUAUUUUCACUGCCUCUAAUUAGUUCAAUGGCACUGCUGUUUUCUUUGCAGGUAAAUGGUUCGUAAGCACUGGGAAGGACAAUCUGUUGAACGCGUGGAGGACUCCUUAUGGCGCCAGCAUAUUCCAGUCCAAGGAAUCCUCUUCAGUCCUGAGCUGCGACAUCUCAACGGAUGACAAGUAUAUCGUGACAGGCUCUGGUGACAAGAAGGCCACCGUGUAUGAAGUGAUCUAUUAGGACGGCUUUGGAUCAGAGCAUGCUCAUAAUUAGGAACAACAUGCUCUUCCUCCGCCUAUCUUCCCUCAAACAGACAACAUGGAUUCUCCUUUAAAUGACAGGAAGUUUGGCAGUGCCAGACUAAAAUGGAUGGUGGUGCUGUUUGGGACCUGGAUUUUUGUUUCUGAUUAUUACAAGACUUGUACACGAAGAGCGGUUGUGUGAGGGCACUAAGAAAAAGGAAAUAAAACAAACACCUUGCUCUUUUCGCCGGUUUGGAUUUUUCUUUGUUUUUUUAAUCCUUUUGACAGUGGAGAUAAAGUUCCAUGACACAACUAGAAGCGGCGCUUCACUUUGGAGCUUUUCCUCAGAGGUCCUGUGAAAAGUGUACAUAAUGGAGUAAUAAAUGGCCUUUUAUAGAUUUAUAUUUUGGUGUCCAAUUUCGCUUGUGAUGGUUCUUUCUUGUUCUCUGUGAUUUUCUGUCCCCUUUGGGGGUGGAAAUUAGAUUAGGACUUUGUAAGAGGAUAUUCUGUUUCCUUCUCCCCUCCUCUCCGUGGCAUUUAUUUUCCAUGUUUUUUGUCAAGAGCAACCUUUUUGGGAAAUCUAAUUUGGAGUUUUUUUUUUUUUCUUCCUGGCAACAGCUUUGUUUUUUUUUUUUUUUUUUUUUUGCUUCUUGGUACAAAACAGAUGCUUGUUCCAAGGAGUUUAGCCACAGAGAACUCCGGAAACGCUUUUUUUUCCCCUGACUGGAGGAAGGAGAAAUUCAUUGUUUUCAGUUUUAUUGGCUCACUGGCUUUGGUCAGCAGAAACUCAACUCUGAAAUGAUCUGUCACUGAACACUGGCUGCUUUCAGUAAUACCAAAAUGGAUAACAACUGGAAGACUGAUGGAUUUCCUAAAAGGCAGCCGUGACUUAAGCUCAGUCUGUUGACUCAACCAUUGUAUGAAAAUAUCAUUGCUCCGCUCUGCAAAGUCAUCAGUCUGUGCAAGUUAAUUAUUGCCUUUCUUGUUUUGACGGCCUGUGACUGAUAUGCAAGACUUGCUUGGUUACACAUACAGAUGGCAAGCAAAGCCACGUCUGCAUUUGACAUCCUGGGUAUACCGUUUGCUUUCUACAGUAUUCACAAUAUUCUGCCUGGAAAAACUCUUACAGAAAAAGGGCAUAAACUGUGUCGCAUACACUCAUCACUCGUGCGGAUUGUACAGUAGACAGUUGUUGAUAAGUCAAUAAACUGUUUUUAUAUAAAAUAUAAUCUUGACUUGAUUUUUAAAGUGCUGUUGUCUUGCUGCUUAUAAAGGUAAUAUCUCCAUCUUGAAGAGAGGGAAAUUAACAUAAGAACUGGUGAUAACACUGAAAAUUAAAAAAAGAUAAUCCAACUCUCGUUUUUAUGACAAAAUCUGCAUACCAGCUCAUUUAGAAUGGUAAAAUUGUAUUUUGUUUAUUUAAUUUCAACAUGUUCAGCCUAAUUGUAAUUCUAUUUUCGUUUUGGCUUUGAAUACCCAUCUGUCUGCUGUUUAAACUGGUUGUCUGGCGUAGAUAACAGUGGUGAGACGACAGAUAUCUACAAAUGUCAAUUGUACUCUUAAUCGUUUUCUUUUUUCUUCUUGGCUUAAAUUAUGCUAAUAAGUACGUUUUUAGAAAAGCUGUUAGGUGGCUUUUGUUCUCAGGCAAUAAAACAAGACCAUGUAUCUCCA
Molecule: RNA transcript, 5611 nt
Organism: Girardinichthys multiradiatus
Lineage: Eukaryota; Metazoa; Chordata; Actinopteri; Cyprinodontiformes; Goodeidae
Gene: tle3a
Gene name: TLE family member 3, transcriptional corepressor a
Exons: 21
Source: RefSeq, a predicted model, not a curated record